GAGGGUAUAGCUCAAGUGGCAGACCGUGUGCUUAGCAUGCACAAGGUCCUGGGUUUAAUCCCCAGUACUUCCA
RNAcentral lists this transfer RNA (73 nucleotides) under Camelus bactrianus (Bactrian camel). It matches the Rfam family "tRNA". From Rfam's summary of the family: Transfer RNA (tRNA) molecules are approximately 80 nucleotides in length. Their secondary structure includes four short double-helical elements and three loops (D, anti-codon, and T loops). Further hydrogen bonds mediate the characteristic L-shaped molecular structure. tRNAs have two regions of fundamental functional importance: the anti-codon, which is responsible for specific mRNA codon recognition, and the 3' end, to which the tRNAs corresponding amino acid is attached (by aminoacyl-tRNA synthetases). tRNAs cope with the degeneracy of the genetic code in two manners: having more than one tRNA (with a specific anti-codon) for a particular amino acid; and 'wobble' base-pairing, i.e. permitting non-standard base-pairing at the 3rd anti-codon position. Lineage: Eukaryota; Metazoa; Chordata; Mammalia; Artiodactyla; Camelidae. The record is from Rfam by way of RNAcentral. RNAcentral also lists the same sequence under 3 other names.